GUUUACAUAUACAAGUCACCACCUCCUCCAUCACCUACUUAUGUUUACAAGUCACCACCACCACCAGUGAAGUCACCUCCCUAUUACUAUCAAUCUCCACCUCCACCAUCACCAAAACCUCAGCCUCCUUAUUAUUAUCACUCUCCACCUCCUCCAACACCAGUUGUUAAGCCACCAUACUACUACCAAUCUCCACCUCCUCCAUCUCCAAAACCUAAGCCUCCAUACUACUACCAAUCUCCUCCUCCUCCAUCACCAAAACCUAAACCUCCUUACUACUACCAAUCUCCACCUCCUCCAUCACCAAAACCUCAGCCUCCAUACUACUAUCAAUCUCCACCUCCUCCAACACCAGUUGUGAAGCCACCAUACUACUACCAAUCUCCACCUCCUCCAUCACCAAAACCUCAGCCUCCUUACUAUUACCAAUCUCCACCUCCUCCAACACCAGUUGUUAAGCCACCAUACUACUAUAAAUCUCCACCUCCCCCAUCACCCUCUCCUCCACCACCAUACUACUACAAAUCUCCACCACCACCAUCCCCAUCACCGCCACCUCCAUACUACUAUAAAUCUCCACCUCCACCAUCACCGGUUGUUAAGCCACCAUACUACUAUAAAUCCCCACCUCCCCCAUCACCCUCUCCUCCCCCUCCAUACUACUAUAAAUCUCCACCUCCAUACUACUACCACUCUCCACCUCCACCAUCACCAGUUGUUAAGCCACCAUACUACUACAAAUCUCCACCUCCACCAUCACCCUCACCUCCCCCUCCAUACUACUAUAAAUCUCCACCCCCACCUUCACCAUCCCCUCCUCCUCCAUACUAUUAUAAAUCACCACCACCACCAUCCCCAUCACCGCCACCUCCAUACUAUUACAAAUCCCCUCCACCUCCAUCCCCAUCUCCAC
RNAcentral lists this long non-coding RNA (913 nucleotides) under Phaseolus vulgaris (common bean). Its description in RNAcentral is "long non-coding RNA (PVUL_LNC001945)". Lineage: Eukaryota; Viridiplantae; Streptophyta; Magnoliopsida; Fabales; Fabaceae. The record is from RNAcentral.